CUAAUUGAAAUAAGAGAUAAAAAAGGAAACCUGAAAGCAGAAAAUUACCUUAAAUUACUCCAACUUUCCACUAAUUGCUCAUCCAUUAAUGAGCAUUAAAACUCAUUAUCUGCAAAAAUGGUUGCAUUAAAGCUAAAAAGAUUUAUUUUGGGAAGAUUAGAGAGAAGAAAGAGGAAUUAUUCAACAAUAAAUUUUAACAGGUAUUUUCUCAAUUCAAAUUUCGUUUAAAAAUUGUUGAAAGACAAUUUUUUUGAAAAUCAAAUUUGUGAAUUUGCGCUUAUAUUUGUGUAUUUGUUGUUUUCGACUAAAUUAUAUAAAUUUCAAUAUAUUUUGAUUCAUUAUUUUUCAUUAAUGUAUAAACGAUCUAUACAACAAUUUCAAUUGGUGAUUUAACACACGGAUUAUUAUAAUUUUUGAAACCUUAUAAUUGUUAGUUUAUUUUGAAUACAUAGUUACAGCCAAUUUGCGUACUGUAUUUGUUUACAAUUUUUUUUUAAAAGAUGGGGCAAUUACCAAUUGUUCUGAAGAAUCCAGGCGUAUGAACCUGUUAUAAUGAGUAUGAACAGUACGAGUUGGACUCAAUUGCAAUUGAAGAAACAGAAAAAUAUAAUGGUUUGAUUCAAUUGAUUGGUAAGCAACUUUGUAUUGAGUUGAAUUUUGUAACGACCCAAAAACGAGGGUCAUGAUGGCACUUGUCACGGCGUACCUUGACAAGUAAGACUAUCACCCAAAAUAAGGACUAAAAUACCCAAGAUAAGGCUUCCAGAUUGAAGCCGAACCAUAUAAAUAAUCAUAACAAUACAGACUGAACUUAUCCAAAACACCAAUCAUGCCCAAAACUAGGUGUCAAUAGUGUAAGAACUACUAAUACAAUCCAAGAGUCAAAUACAUCGGAAAAAUAACCACAAAUGAAUAAUAACUGUCUCCGAACACUAAUAAAGACAUAACUAGUAUAGAAAGAUAGAGGUGAACUUCGGACACAUGAAUGUCCAACCGCUACCUUGGAAGCUCCAACAACCGCCCAAAUCAAGUAAGCUAAGGUGCACUUGAGCUAGGACCUGAACCAAAAGGGCGCAGUAGGCAUGAGUACGGUCCACUUGUACUCAGUAGGUAUCAUAGGCCGACUAAGCAAAGUAGUAAAUAAGACAUACAAAAUACACACUAAGGGCAUGUCACCUGCAAUUAGAAAAUAUACCACAACAGUAGCCCACACCGCUUGCACUAAUAGUUCUAAUAUAUAUCACAUAUAUUGCAAAAACACAUCAAGAUAUAGAACACAAGUAUAGAUUAUAUCACAUAUAAAAUAGAGCAAGAGAGAAUAUGUAGAUACAAGAUCAUCAAAUACAAGUAAAGAAAGGUAAGACAAAUACAUAGAUGACAAGUCAGUAAGGCAAGACAAAUACAUAGAUGACAAGUCAGUAAGGCAAUACAACACAACAUAAACACAAUAAAGUAAGUGCAAUGUAUAUGAUAAUGAUGAUGAUGAUGAUGAUGAUGCACGAGGUUGUCGCAUAACCUCCGGGAUCGUCGCACAAUCCCCGUACACACCUACGGAGCCAAAGCUUCCCGACGUAAGACCCAUGGGGGGUUCAUCAACCCAUAUACAAACCACAUAUCUCAUAUCUCCUUUUCAGCACAUCCUUCGAAAAGGGUUUUAUAAGGUGUUACAAUAUUUUUAAAAAAGUGUUGCCAGUGUUUCUCAAAUAUUGCCAAGGUGGUACCAAUGUUUCAUUUAUAAGUAUGAUAUGAAGAUGUAAUGCUCACAAUCAAUCACAAUAAGUAUUUCCACAACCAACCACAACAAUACAUUUCCACAACCACAUGAGUCAAUAUUCACUCAUUAUUUUCAUUUCAUCCAUGAAUUUCCACAUGUUUCAUAUACCAGUAAAGUAUGAAUAUAAUCACAAUACACCCAUGGUACCACAUUAAACAAUAUAAUUACUCAUAUGUAUUCAAGGCUAUCAAUGUCACAUAGGACCCCACACGGUCAAACAUAUCACAUAAUAUUUUAAUUUCGAUAAUUACAUCACAUAUAGGCCCCCACACGGGCACAACAUAUAGAUAGCCAUUUUUCAUGAUUAGUUUCCACCCUUAACAUGCAUUUUGUACAAUCAUUUACAACCCAGCCUAGUCUGAAGAGUUAAGUCAUACCCUACCUCGAAAGCCGAAAUUGGUUCGCUACACUUGAACCCGCAAUCUUACUUUUCACGAACAAUCUCGAACUCUACUAAAAACAUCAAAUAUGAAAUCUACGCGUCAAAACAAAACCAACGACAUUCAUAUUGACUACUUUUGGUUCGAGGUCAAAAUGGAUCCCCAAAAUAGGUUUCCGAAAAAGAAGGGCAAAAUUGGAACUUUACUUUAAAAAUAUGUUUCCCAUAUCUUUAGGAACCUACAGCUGAAAACUCAAGUUAAAUCGAGUGAAGAAUGGGGUUAAAAUCGAAGAAAAACUAUUUUUUGAGCUUUACCGGGUAACAUCCUUGAAAUUCGGGUUAAAAUCAAGAAUCGGAGUUGUUUUGAAAGUUAAAUUGAUGAAAAACUAGCAAUUAUAAGAUAAUAAUAUUAUUCAAGUGAAAGGGGAUGAAAUUUGGGUUUAAAAUCAUGCCCUAAGAUUAUUGGGGUUUUGAGAAAUUUAUUAAGAAAUUUCUAAGAAAAGGGUGAAUUCUUACCUUAAAUCCAUAAUUAAAAUCAAGGAAUAGGUGUUAAUCUAGCUUCCCAAGCUCUCACAAGCUUCACUUUUAAGCUCCCAAAAUAUUUAGGUUUAACUCUCAAGAGACAAGAUGAAAAAUGAGCAAAAUGGGCCAAAAAUGUGAAAAAAGCUGCUAUAUAUAUUGCAGAUUUUUCUGCAUUACUGAGCAGUUUUUUAUUCUAACUCGAAAUGGACUUCGACGGGGUGCUCAGAAUUCGUUCGGAGUCCGUUUUAUGCAAACGAACUAUGCAACCACACUAAAUUCUACGUUCCGGAUGCGAUGAAAAUACCAGAUUUUUCAAAAAAAUUCAUUUUCACAAAAUUGACCCCCGAGACACGAAAUCACAAUUUUCCAAACCGAGGGUCGAAAUGAGAUUUAAAAGUCGUAAAAUCAUACCAAACAUGCUAACAUACUAAAAUCAAUAUUCCGGAUCUGUUGGAGAAGUCGUAUUUUCCAUACGAGGUCGUUUCAACCAAAAGUGGGUCCCACACCCAACUUUCCAAUUUUUCAACUUUUCGACCAAUAGGUCGAAAUGAGCUUGGGUGCACUAGGGCCCGAACCCAAGGUAUACCCAGCCUAAAAUCGAUAUUACGGAGCUGCUGGCGUAGUCCGUUAGGUCAUCCGCCUCAUGGAUCAAAAUAUAACCACAUAAGUCCAAAAUAAGACUCUCAAAGCCGUCAAAAACCACAAUAUUGCAUAAUGAUACCAAAAUGCAUCAAAAAUCAUGUCCACCACUCCCACACCCCAGAAAUACUAUAAUACAACUACGGGGAGGGGUAAAAUGGUCAAAUCACAUAAAAUCACAAAUUUCACAUAUUUCAUCAAAUUUUUAGGUCGUUACAUCAUCCACCACUAAAAAUCUAGUUCAUCCUCGAACUAAGGCAAGGAAAUACCUGAAUCAAUGAAAAAUUGGGGAUAGGAACUACGCAUAUCAGACUCAAUCCCCCAAGUAGUCACAUCUACAAGUCAAAGUUGUCACUAGACCUGAACCACAAGGAUCACUUUAGAGCGCAACUGCCUAACAUCCCCAGCCAAAAUGGGAACUGGCUCCUCAACAAAGGAUAACCGCUUAUCUAACUGAAUUGAAUCCCAACGAAUGACAUGAGACUUGUCAAGAAUAUAGCAACGAAGAAUAAAAAUAUGAAAACUGGAUGAACAACAGAUAGAUCAAGGGCCAAAGCCAACUCAUAAGCCACAUCACCAAUAGUCCGAAGAAUCUCAAACGGAUCAAUAUACCUGGGGCUAAGCUUGCCCCUCUUCCCAAACCUCAUCACACCCUUCAUGGGUGAAACUCGAAGGAAAACACAAUCACCAACACCAAAACUCAAGACACGAAGUCUACGAUCGGCAUAACACUUCUUCAUACUUUGGGUCUCUCUAAGUCUAUCCUGAAUGACCCGGACCCUAUUCAAAGACUCACGAAGCAAGUCUGUACCUCGAGGUCUCACCUCUGAAACAUCGAACCAACCUACUGGAGAGCGACAAUACCUACCAUACAAUGCCUCAAAAAGAGUCAUAUCAAUAAUGGAAUGGUAGCUAUUACUAUUUGCAAACUAUGCUAAAGCCAAAUACUGCUCCCACUAACCACCAAAAUCCAUCACGCACGCGCGGAGCGUACUCCAAAACCUGGAUAGUCCAUUCUGACUGGCCAUCAGUCUGGGGUGAAACGCUGAACUAAGAUCCACUCAAGUACCUAACUCCUCCUGAAAAAUCUUUCAAAAGUGAGAUGUGAACAAAGGACCUCGAUCUGAAAUAAUGGACACCGGCACACCAUGCAGACGCACAAUCUCACAAAUAUAGAUAUGAGCCAACCUCUCAACACUAAAUGAGACCUGAAUCGAAAUAAAAUGAGCUGACUUGGUCGAUCGAUCCACGAUGACCCAAACACUGUCAGAACCAUAAGAUGUAUGCGGCAAACCAGUCAUAAAGUCCAUAGUGAUGCGUUCCCACUUCCACUCAGGAAUGGGUAACCUCUGAAGUAAACUACCAAAUCUCAUAUGCUUGGCCUUCACCUGCUGACAACAUAGGCAACAAGACAUAAAAUCUGUUAUAUCUAGGCUCUUACCACCCCACCAGUAGUGCUGUCUCAAAUCACAAUACAUCUUAGUCACACCUGGAUGGAUAGAAUAUCUGGAACAAUAGGCCUCCUCCAAGAUCAACCUAAUUCGAUCACCACUUUCGGCAUACAAACUCCGCCCUCAAUCCUCAAAACUUCAUCUGAAUUAGGUGAGGAUUCCUUAGACUCUCCACUCAACAUCUUAUCUUAAAUCAACCUCAACCCAAAAUCGUCAAACUAAUGAGCUCAAAUCUGCUCCAUCAAAGAGGGUCUAGCAUCCACAAGUGCCAAAAUACGUGUUGGUGUUGAAAUAUCAAGCCUGACCAUCAGAUUAGCUAAAGACUGAACCUCCAAGGCCAACAACCUCUCCUGAGUCAAAAGAUGCACCAAGCUACCCAUGCUAGCCGACUUCUAGCUCAAGGGAUCCACAACUACAUUAGCCUUUCCCUAAUGGUAGAGAAUAGUCAAGUAAUAAUCCUUAAGCAACUCAAGCCAACGACGCUGCCUCCUAAGAAGAUCUCUCUGAUAAAGAAGUGCAAAAGGCUACGAUGAUAUGAGAAGAUCUCACAAUGGAAUCCAUACAAGUAGUGCCUCCAAAACUUCAAGGCAAACACAACUGCGCACAACUCCAAAUCAUGGGUAGGAUAAUUCCUCUCAUGAGGAUUCAAUUGACGAGAUGCAUAAGUAAUUACCUUGCCCUCCGCAUCAACACAACACCUAACCCAACACCUGAAGCAUCACAAAAGACAGUAAAGCCUACGCCUUUCUUAGGCAAACCUAAUAUAGGAGCUGAAGUCAAUAAAUCCUUGAGCUUCAGGAAGCUCGCCUCACAAGCUUCGGACCACUAAAAAAAAAUCUUCUUCUGGGUCAACUUGGUGAAUGGAGCUGCAAUAGAGGAAAAACCCUCAACAAAACGUCAAUAAUACUCAGCCAAGCCAAUAAAACUCUAAAUCUCGGUGGGCGAAGUAGGUUUAACCCAAAUCAUAAACCGCUGCAACCUUAGCUGGAUCAACCAUGAUACCUUUCUUAGUCACCACAUGACCCAAGAAAGAAAAUAGACACCAACCAAAACUCACACUUAGAGAACUUAGCAUACAACUUCUCAUCCAUCAAUCUUUAAAGCACAAUCCAUAAAUAUUCUUCUUACUCAACCUCACUCUUGGAAUAAACCUAGAUAUCAUCUAUAAAUACCAUAAUAAAGGAGCUAAUAUAUGAUCAAAACACUUAUUCAUCAACUCCAUGAAUGAGGCAGGGGAAUUGCUCAACCCAAAAGACAUGACUAAAAACUUAUAAUGACCAUAUCGAGUCCGAAAAGCUAUUUUCAGAAUAUCCAAAGCUCUAAUCCUCAACUGGUGAUAACCGAACCACAAUUCAAUCUUCGAAAACACCACAACGCCCUAAAGCUGAUCAAACAAAUCAUCAAUGCGAGGAAGAGGAUACUUAUUCUUAACCACCACCUUGUUCAACUACCGAUAAUCAAUACAUAUCUGCAUAGACCCAUUAUUUCUCUUUACAUACAAGACAAACGCAGCCCAAGGUGAAAUACUAGGUCGAAUAAAUCCCUUAUCCAACAACUCCUAUAACUGAUCUUUUAGUUUCUUUCAACUCUGUUGGGGCCAUCCUAUAAAGAGGAACUGAAAUGGGCUCGGUGCCUGACUUAACAUCAAUAAUAAAAUCAAUAUCUCAAUUCGAAGGAAUACUAGGAAAGUCCAUCGGGAACACCUCCAUAAACUCACGGGCAACACGGACAAAAUCUAAGAAAGGAGGUGAAAUAACACUUGUGUCAUGAAUAUGGGCCAAGUAAGAUAAACAUCCCUUCUUAACCAAUUUAUGAGCCUGAACAUAAGAUAUAACCCUCUUAGUACCCGAAUUAAGUGUACCCUUUUCAAGCUAUCCUUGUCACACUAACUAAAGCUAAAGUCACAGUCCUAGCAAAACAAUCUAAGACAACAUGAUAAGUAUCCAAACAAUCCAUAACCAAAAUAACAUCAAAAUCGACCAUAUCUAAUACAAGCAAGUCUACCAAAGUUUCACGUCCGGCAAAACUCACAAUACAAGAUCGGUACACCCGAUCCACCACUAAAGAAUCACCUACCGAGGUAGAUACACGAAUAGGCAUGGCAAGAGGCUCCCUAACCAAAUCAAAACCCAAAGAAAAAUAUACAGACACAUAGAAGAAAAUCAAUCCAGGAUCAAAUAAUAACAUGUAGGUCUGAAACAAAUAGAACGGUAGCUACGAUCAUAGCAUCUGAAACAUCCGCCUCAGAUCUGACUUAUAUAGUGUAGCACUAUCCAUGACUACCAUCUGACUGAGUGGCCCCAUAACCACUAACACGGGCUCUACUAUCUCUACCUCUAGCACCUUUGGUAGAACACCUACCUCUCACAGCUAAAAUAAGGUUAUCUCUAAACACGUGGCAAGAACAGUCUUUGGCCACAUGGCCAGUCUCAUCACACUCAUAACAACCUCUGUGACUAGUCUCAAUAGGAGAAGGUACAAUUGGGCCUGAACGGCCACCCUGAACUGCUGGACUAGAAGGUCCACCACCUAAACUCUGUAAUGCCGCCUGUACUGGCCUACCAUAGUAUCCACGAGAACCUCUAAAAUUUCUACCUCGAGAGGUCUGACUCCUGAACUCACCAAAAUAUUGCGUCUUCUUGGCGCCUACCUGAGAUGCGCUAAGCAUAUCCUUUGUCAUCUUAGCAUGAUCCAAAAUACUCUAAAAAGAAGCCCCAAACACAACUAUAUGAAAUGUAGCCAACAGAAGGAAGACAACCCAACCCUUCACAAACUUUUGAAUCUUCUCAAACUCGGUGGAAAUGCUAUCUUAGAAAUAUCAAGACAGGGUAUGAAAGCAUACCUUAUACUCAAAAACUGUCAUGGAUACCCGCUCCAAAUUAUCAAACUCGUCCCAUAUAUGAUCUCUCAAACUAAAACGCACAAAUCUCUCCAGAAAGGCAUCAACAAAUUGAUCCCAUGACAACUCAGGAGCAUUAACAAGCCUACAACCAACAAAUGAUAUCCAAUAAUCUCUCGUUGCAUCUCUCAACUAAUAAGAGGUAUAAGCAACUCCAUUUGCUUAGAAAGAGUGAAACACAACUCAGAAUACAGGGUAUGAAAGAAUUUCACACGAUAAAGAAUGAAACGAGGGAAUUUUCCUAAAGACAUCCUAUAGCCUCUCGAAGAUAGAUACGAACAUAUACGUACCGAUCUAUGAAACUCGAUUAGACAUCCCGUUCUUACACCGUUGAGACCAAUGAAACCUGGUUGGCUUUGAUACCAAUUUAUCAUGAUCAAAAAAUGAGGGUCAUGAUGGCACUUGUCACGGCGUACCUUGACAAGUAAGACUAUCACCCAAACUGAUACGAAUAGAGAAAAAAUACUAAAAUACCCAAGGUAAGGCUUCUAGAUUGAAGCCGAACCAUAUAAAUAAUCAUACAAAAUGGAAAGAACGUAUCCAAAACACCAAUCAUGCCCAAAACCAGGUGUCAAUAGUGUAAGAACUACUAAUACAACCAAGAGUCAAAUGCAUCGAAAAAAUAACCACAUAGGAAUAAUAACUAUCUCCAAACACUAAUAAAGACAAAACUAGUAUAGAAAGAUAGAGGUGAACUUUAGACGCAUGAAUGUCCAACCGCUACCUUGGAAGCUCCAACAACUGCCCGAAUCAAGUAAGCUGAGGCGCACUCGAGUUAGGACCUGCACCGAAAAGGCACAGUAGGCAUAAGUACGGUCCACUUGUACAUAGUCGGUAUAAUAGGCCGACUAAGCAAAGUAGUAAAUAAGGCAUACAAAAUAUACACUAAGGGUACGUCACCUGCAAUAAAAAAAUGUCCCACAAAAGUAGCCCACACCGCUUGCAGUAACAGUUCUAAUAUAUCUCACAUAUAUUGCAAAAACACAUCAAGAUAUAAAACACAAGUAUAGAUUAUGUCAUAUAUAAAACAGAGAAAGAGAGCAUGUAGAUAAAAGAUCAUCAAAUACAAGUACAGAAAGGUAAGACAAAUACAUAGAUGACAAGUCAAUAAGGCAAUACAACACAACAUAAACACAAUAAAGUAAGUGCAAUGUAUAUGAUAAUAAUGAUGAUGAUGAUGAUGCAUGAGGUUGUCGCACAAUCUCCUUAUACACCUACGGAGCCAAAGCUUCCCAACAUAGGACCCAUGGGGGAUUCGUCAACCCAUAUACAAUCCACAUAUCUCAUAUCUCCUUUUUGACACGUCCCUCGAAAAGGGUUUUACAAGGUGUUACAAUAUUUUUAAAAAGGUGUUGCCAGUGUUUCUCAAAUGUUGCCACGGUGGUACUAAUGUUUCAUGAAUAAGUAUGAUAUGAAGAUGUAAUGCUCACAACCAAUCACAAUAAGUAUUUCCACAACCAACCACAUGAUAUAUUUCCACAACCAACCACAAUGAUACAUUUCCACAACCACAUAAGCCAAUAUUCACUCGUUAUUUUUAUUUCAUCCAUGAAUUUCCACAUGUCUCAUAUGCCAGUAAAGUAUGAAUAUAAUCACAAUACACCCAUGGUACCACAUUAAAAAAUACAAUACAAUUACUCACAUGUAUUCAAAGCUAUCAAUGUCACAUAGGACCCCACAUGGUCAAACAUAUCACAUAAUAUUUCAAUUUUGACAAUUACAUCACAUAUAGGCCCCCAUAUGGACACAACACGUAGAUAGCCACUUUUCAUGAUUAGUUCCCACCCUUAACAUGCAUUUUGUACCAUCAUUUACUACCCAGCCCAGUCUGAAGAGUUAAGUCAUAACCUACCUCGAAAGCCGAAACUGGUUCGCUACACUUGAACCCGUGACCUUACUUUACACGAAUAAUCCCGAACUCUACUAAAAAUAUCAAAUAUGGAAUCUACGCAUCAAAAUAAAAGCAACGACACCCAUAUUGACUACUUUUGGUUCGGGUUCAAAACGGAUCUCCAAAAUAGGUUUUCAAAAAAAAAAGGGCAAAAUUGAAAUUUUACUUUAAAAAUAUGUUCCCCAUAUUUUUAGGAACCUACAGAUGAAAACCCAAGUUAAAUCGAGUGAAAAACGGGGUUCAAUCGAAGAAGUUAAAUCGAGUGAAAAACGGGGUUCAAAUCGAAGAAAAACCAUUUUUUGAGCUUUACCGGGUAAAAUCCUUGAAAUCCGGAUUAAAAUCAAGAAUUGGAGUUGUUUUGAAGGUUAAAUUGAUGAAAAACUAGUAAUUAUAAGAUAAAAUAUUAUUCAAGUGAAAGGGGAUGAAAUUUGGGUUUAAAAUCAUGCCCUAAGAUUUUUGGGGUUUUGAGAAAUUUAUCAAGAAAUUUCUAAGAAAAGGGUGAAUUCUUACCUUAAAUCCGCAAUUAAAAUCAAGAAAUAUGUGUUAAUCUAGCUUCCCAAGCUCUCACAAACUUCACUUUUAAUCUUCCAAAAUAUUUAGGGUUUAACUCUCAAGAGACAAGAUGAAAAAUGAGCAAAAUGGGCCAAAAUGUGAAAAAGUUGCUAUAUAUAUUGCAGAUUUUUCUGCAUAACUGAGCAGUUUUUUAUUCUAACUCAAAAUGGACUUCGACGGGUGCUCGAGAUUCGUUCGGAGUCCGUUUUAUGUAAACGAACUAUGUAACCACACUAAAUUUGACGUUCCGGACGCGAUGGCGAUACCAUAUUUUUCAUAAAAAUUCGUUUUCACAAAAUUGACCCCCGAGAUCUGAAAUCAUAAUUUUCCAAACCGAGGGUCGAAAUGAGAUUUAAAAGCCGUAAAAUCAUACCAAACAUGCUAACACACUAAAAUAGAUAUUAUGGAUCUGUUGGAAAAGUCGAAUUUUCCAUACGAGGUCAUUUCAACCAAAAGUGGGUCCCACACCCAACUUUCCAAUUUUUCAACUUUCCGACCAAUAGGUCAAAAUUAGCUUGGGUGCACCAGGAUCGAACCCAAGGUCUACCAAGACUAAAAUCGAUAUUUCGGAACUGCUGGCGUAGUCCGUUCGGUCAUCCAUCGCACAGAUCAAAUUAUAACCACAUAAGUCCAAAAUAAGGCUUUCAAAGCCAUAAAAAACCACAAUAUUGCAUAAAUGAUAUCAAAAUAUAACAAAAAUUAUAUCCACCACUCCCACACACCAGAAAUACCAUUAUGCAACUACGGGAAGAGGUAAAAUGGUCAAAUCACAUAAAAUCAUAAAUUUCACAUAUUUCAUCAAUUUUUUAGGUCGUUACAAAUUUAAAAACAUUAAAAGUUGAAUAUAAAGUUGAUUUAGCAGUAAAAGAAUGGAGAUACGUAACGACAUGGGAUUGGCAGUUUAUGUAAUGGUACGAAAAAAAAAGAAUAAGGAUUCGAAAACUAUCCAUUAUAUGUUUCUGUAUAUGAUAAAAUCAUGAAAAACGAAAGCGCUUGCUCGAAUGUUGAAUGCAAAAUUUCUGUUGUUUAUGAGAAAAAAGGAAAUUCUAGAGAUGACGAUGCAUUGGUUGAAGUUGUUAAUAUAAAUGGACAUGAUCGGACAAUUAUUUCUGAUCCAAAUCAUAAUGAAGUGCUCGUUGGUCAAGUUUAUAAGGACAAAGCCACUUAAAAGUCUGUGAUAAGGCUUUAUGCGACCAGAAAUAGAUUCCAAUUCAAUAUGAUAUAAUCAAAUGCAGUCGGGUAGGUGUAUUUAACGUAUUAAAGCAUUUGUAUUUUUAUUCUAUACAUGGUUUUGUCUUAUGAUAAAAAUAUAUUUAUGUAUUUAUGUAUAUAUAAUAUGGAUAAGUUUAUUAAGUUUAUUCAUAUUAUUGUCUAACUAGAUACAUACAAUUGUUAUUAUAGGUUCCUAUUCAUACAUAAUUUGAUAAACAGAAUUGUAUACGUUAGCAAAUCAGUUUUGAAGUUUUUUAAAAUACAAUUUUUUUUGUACAAAUUACUAAUAGAUAACUUUUACAUCGCAUGUAUAAUUUGGUGUGUAAAUCAAAGGGAUGUAGUUGGUUUCUAAUGGCAUCUAGUAAUAAAAAGACUGACUUCUUUAAGAUUUGCCGAUUUUGUCAGGAGCAUACUUGUCCUUUAAAGGAUCUGGUGUACAAGCAGAAAUAUGUUAGAAGUGCAUUGAUUGGCUGAAUUGUGAAGAAGAUGUUAUCCAAACAUAAAAGAGUGUAUACGGCGAAACACAUACAUAAUUUUGUUAUGACUUGUGACUAAUUGUAGUUCGAACAAUGAUCAAUUACAUGACGCAUUUUGUUGUCUACUUUGUUUGCAUAUUAAAUUGAAAUUGUAAGUUUUCAUGCUAUAUACUUUGUUAUAUACUUUGUUUUCAUGUUAUAUACUGACUGUAAGUUUGCAGAUAUAUUUCACUUUACAUUAUAACUGUAUCAAUAUGCAGCCUAAUGUAAUAAUUU
RNAcentral lists this long non-coding RNA (12071 nucleotides) under Capsicum annuum. RNAcentral describes it as "long non-coding RNA (CANN_LNC013229)". The record is from RNAcentral. Lineage: Eukaryota; Viridiplantae; Streptophyta; Magnoliopsida; Solanales; Solanaceae.